RNAcentral lists this unclassified non-coding RNA (297 nucleotides) under Hevea brasiliensis (rubber tree). The record is from RNAcentral. Lineage: Eukaryota; Viridiplantae; Streptophyta; Magnoliopsida; Malpighiales; Euphorbiaceae.
GAUGGACACUUAUUAGCAAUCUUGAUGCAGCAAGGGGCACAUGCUAUGUGCCCAUUCCCACACUGAAGCAGACGACAAUAUCACAUAUAGAGAAGCAGAAGAGUUAACUGAAAAAUCAACCUCCUCGGGUACUUAUCCCACACUUUGCAGGCACGAGUAGUGCACUUUACCUUCUCCUAACGACCCAUCAGCUUCCAUCUCUGUGGCAGCUUUCAGGCCUAAAGAUUGAGGAUGUGUUGUAGCACUGUGCUUUUUAUAAAGUCAGCUGAAGUGCACCCUAGAGCAAGUAGGAUGAGG